GAUGAACGCUGGCGGCGUGCUUAACACAUGCAAGUCGAACGGAAAGGCAUCAGCUUGCUGGGGUACUCGAGUGGCGAACGGGUGAGUAACUCGUGGGGGAUCUGCCCUGCACUUUGGGAUAAGCUUGGGAAAGUGGGUCUAAUACCGAAUAUGACCACUUCUUGGAUGUUGUGGUGGUAAGCUUCUGGGGUGUGGGAUGAGCCUGCGGCCUAUCAGCUUGUUGGUGGGGUAAUGGCCUACCAAGGCGGCGACGGCGUAUCCGGCCCGGGGGGGUGUACGGACACAUUGGGACUGAGAUACGGCCCAGACUCCUACGGGAGGCAGCAGUGGGGAAUAUUGCACAAUGGGCGCAAGCCUGAUGCAGCGACGCCGCGUGGGGGAUGAAGGCCUUCGGGUUGUAAACUCCUUUCGCUAUCGACGAAGCCACUUGUGGUGACGGUAGGUAGAUAAGAAGCACCGGCUAACUACGUGCCAGCCGCCGCCGUAA
Molecule: ribosomal RNA, 487 nt
Filed under: uncultured bacterium
Lineage: Bacteria
Description: partial 16S ribosomal RNA
Rfam family: Bacterial small subunit ribosomal RNA
Source: RNAcentral